GCAGUCGAGCGGCAGCGCGGGGGCAACCCUGGCGGCGAGCGGCGCACGGGUGAGUAAUGCAUCGGAACGUGUCCUCUUGUGGGGGAUAACCAGUCGAAAGACUGGCUAAUACCGCAUGAGAUCGAGAGAUGAAAGCAGGGGACCCGCAAGGGCCUUGCGCGAGAGGAGCGGCCGAUGCCCGAUUAGCUAGUUGGUGGGGUAAAAGCCUACCAAGGCGACGAUCGGUAGCUGGUUUGAGAGAACGACCAGCCACACUGGGACUGAGACACGGCCCAGACUCCUACGGGAGGCAGCAGUGGGGAAUUUUGGACAAUGGGGGCAACCCUGAUCCAGCCAUGCCGCGUGUGUGAAGAAGGCCUUCGGGUUGUAAAGCACUUUCGGCCGGAACGAAAUCGCGCGGGUGAAUAUCCAGCGUGGAUGACGGUACCGGAAGAAGAAGCACCGGCUAACUACGUGCCAGCAGCCGCGGUAAUACGUAGGGUGCGAGCGUUAAUCGGAAUUACUGGGCGUAAAGUGUGCGCAGGCGGCCGAGCAAGUCGAGUGUGAAAGCCCCGAGCUUAACUUGGGAACUGCGCUCGAAACUACUUGGCUAGAGUGUUGGCAAAGGGAGGUGGAAUUCCACGUGUAGCGGUUGAAAUGCGUAGAGAUGUGGAGGAACACCGAUGGCGAAGGCAGCCUCCUGGGCCAACACUGACGCUGAUGCACGAAAGCGUGGGGAGCAAACAGGAUUAAAUACCCUGGUAGUCCACGCCCUAACG
RNAcentral lists this ribosomal RNA (758 nucleotides) under uncultured beta proteobacterium. RNAcentral describes it as "bacterial SSU rRNA". It matches the Rfam family "Bacterial small subunit ribosomal RNA", at positions 57 to 807 of the family's 1533-position model. The record is from RNAcentral. Lineage: Bacteria; Pseudomonadati; Pseudomonadota; Betaproteobacteria.